AUACGGAGGAUCCGAGCGUUAUCCGGAUUUAUUGGGUUUAAAGGGUGCGCAGGCGGGAGAUUAAGUCGGCGGUGAAAUUUUGCAGCUCAACUGUAAAAGUGCCUUCGAAACUGGUUUCCUUGAGUGUAGAUGAAGUAGGCGGAAUUUGUGGUGUAGCGGUGAAAUGCAUAGAUAUCACGAGGAACUCCGAUUGCGCAGGCAGCUUACUAAACUACUACUGACGCUCAGGCACGAAGGCGUGGGGAUCAAACAGGAUUAGAUACCCUGGUAGUCCACGCAGUAAACGAUGAUUACUAGCUGUUUGCGAUACACAGCAAGCGGCUUAGCGAAAGCGUUAAGUAAUCCACCUGGGGAGUACGUUCGCAAGAAUGAAACUCAAAUGAAUUGACGGGG
This 393-nucleotide ribosomal RNA is filed under the name uncultured bacterium. Its description in RNAcentral is "partial 16S ribosomal RNA". It matches the Rfam family "Bacterial small subunit ribosomal RNA", at positions 523 to 918 of the family's 1533-position model. The record is from RNAcentral.